This 364-nucleotide long non-coding RNA is filed under the name Nicotiana tabacum (common tobacco). RNAcentral's name for it is "long non-coding RNA (NTAB_LNC006181)". Lineage: Eukaryota; Viridiplantae; Streptophyta; Magnoliopsida; Solanales; Solanaceae. The record is from RNAcentral.
CUACAUGUAUCCCAAAUAAAUAAUUUUAAACAAGCUCCAUAAAUGUUACUCCACUUAGUGACAUAUACUGAUGGUGCAAAGUUCUUUAUAGUACUAUCAGUAUAUUGCAAGUUAAAUCCAUAUAAUAUGCACUACAAACCUGCAUGCAUUGAACUCUUCCACCAUUGCUAGCAAUGGAGGUAAUGUCAAGGUUUUGUUUCCUGGUAACAGGGAAGGAGGAGGCGGACUUGAGGCCAGUGAAGGGUGCAACCAUGCUGGCUUGAGCAGCAUUAGCGCCGGUCGCAACAGCAGCUGCUGAGGACAUAACUGAGGAAGCCAUUUCUGAAAUAAUUUCUAAGCUUAAAGCUAUUGCUACCCUUGACCU